Molecule: ribosomal RNA, 253 nt
Filed under: uncultured bacterium
Lineage: Bacteria
Also listed under: 1 other name
Description: partial 16S ribosomal RNA
Rfam family: Bacterial small subunit ribosomal RNA
Source: RNAcentral
UACGUAGGGUGCGAGCGUUGUCCGGAAUUAUUGGGCGUAAAGGGCUCGUAGGCGGUUUGUCGCGUCGGGAGUGAAAACCCAGGGCUUAACCCUGGGCUGGCUUUCGAUACGGGCAGACUAGAGGUAUGCAGGGGAGAACGGAAUUCCUGGUGUAGCGGUGAAAUGCGCAGAUAUCAGGAGGAACACCGGUGGCGAAGGCGGUUCUCUGGGCAUUACCUGACGCUGAGGAGCGAAAGUGUGGGGAGCGAACAGG